AACUUUUAACAAUGGAUCACUUGGUUCUGGCAUCGAUGAAGAACGCAGCGAAAUGCGAUAAGUAAUGCGAAUUGCAGAAUCCGUGAGUCAUCGAAUCUUUGAACGCACAUUGCGCCCCUUGGUUAUUCCGAAGGGCAUGCCUGUUCGAGCGUCAUUAUCACCCCUCAAGCCCCGGCUUGGUGUUGGACUUAGUUAUAGCUUUGCCUAUCAACUGGUCUCAAGGAUAGUGACGGCGCCCCAGAGGGAACCGGGUACGAGGAGCUUUUUGUUAAGCAUGUGCCUGGGACGACUCUGAUGGGCGACGGUCUUGUUAUACUUUUACCUAAGUGUUGACCUCGGAUCAGGUAGGAAUACCCGCUGAACUUAAGCAUAUCAAUAAGCGGAGGCU
RNAcentral lists this unclassified non-coding RNA (388 nucleotides) under uncultured Chaetothyriales. Its description in RNAcentral is "sequence contains ITS2". The stretch from base 1 to 154 matches the Rfam family "5.8S ribosomal RNA". Lineage: Eukaryota; Fungi; Ascomycota; Eurotiomycetes; Chaetothyriales. The record is from RNAcentral.